AGUGAACGCUGGCGGUAGGCCUAACACAUGCAAGUCGAACGGCAGCACAGUAAGAGCUUGCUCUUAUGGGUGGCGAGUGGCGGACGGGUGAGGAAUACAUCGGAAUCUACUUUUUCGUGGGGGAUAACGUAGGGAAACUUACGCUAAUACCGCAUACGACCUACGGGUGAAAGCAGGGGAUCGUCGGACCUUGCGCGAUUGAAUGAGCCGAUGUCGGAUUAGCUAGUUGGCGGGGUAAAGGCCCACCAAGGCGUCGAUCCGUAGCUGGUCUGAGAGGAUGAUCAGCCACACUGGAACUGAGACACGGACCAGACUCCUACGAGAGGCAGCAGUGGGGAAUAUUAGACAAUGGGCGCAAGCCUGAUCCAGCCAUACCGCGUGGGUGAAGAAGGCCUUCGGGUUGUAAAGCCCUUUUGUUGGGAAAGAAAAGCAGCAGGUUAAUACCACGCGGUUCUGACGGUACCCAAAGAAUAAGCACCGGCUAACUUCGUG
Molecule: ribosomal RNA, 492 nt
Filed under: uncultured bacterium
Lineage: Bacteria
Description: partial 16S ribosomal RNA
Rfam family: Bacterial small subunit ribosomal RNA
Source: RNAcentral